UACAGAGGGGGCAAGCGUUGUUCGGAAUUACUGGGCGUAAAGGGCGCGUAGGCGGCCUUCUAAGUCGAACGUGAAAUCCCCGGGCUCAACCCGGGAACUGCGUCCGAUACUGGAAGGCUUGAAUCCGGGAGAGGGAUGUGGAAUUCCAGGUGUAGCGGUGAAAUGCGUAGAUAUCUGGAGGAACACCGGUGGCGAAGGCGGGUCUCUGGGCAGUAACUGACGCUGAGGAGCGAAAGCAUGGGGAGCGAACAGG
RNAcentral lists this ribosomal RNA (253 nucleotides) under uncultured bacterium. Its description in RNAcentral is "partial 16S ribosomal RNA". It matches the Rfam family "Bacterial small subunit ribosomal RNA", at positions 524 to 776 of the family's 1533-position model. The record is from RNAcentral.